RNAcentral lists this ribosomal RNA (424 nucleotides) under uncultured Coriobacteriaceae bacterium. RNAcentral describes it as "bacterial SSU rRNA". It matches the Rfam family "Bacterial small subunit ribosomal RNA", at positions 355 to 794 of the family's 1533-position model. The record is from RNAcentral. Lineage: Bacteria; Bacillati; Actinomycetota; Coriobacteriia; Coriobacteriales; Coriobacteriaceae.
UGGGGAAUAUUGGGCAAUGGGGGAAACCCGUGACCCAGCAACGCCGCGUGGAGGAAGAAGGUUUUCGGUAUCGUAAACUCCUGUCCUCAGGGAAGAGAAGGAGACGGUACCUGCAGAAGAAGCCCCGGCUAACUACGUGCCAGCAGCCGCGGUAAUACGUAGGGGGCGAGCGUUAUCCGGAUUCAUUGGGCGUAAAGCGCGCGUAGGCGGCUCGCCAAGCGGGAUCUCAAACCUGAGGGCUCAACCCCCAGCAGGAUCCCGGACUGGCGGGCUCGAGUUCGGUAGGGGAAGGCGGAACUCCCAGUGUAGCGGUGAAAUGCGCAGAUAUUGGGAGGAACACCGAUGGCGAAGGCAGCCUUCUGGGCCGUAACUGACGCUGAGGUGCGAAAGCUAGGGAGCGAACAGGAUUAGAUACCCUGGUAGU